CUAUCCGCAGCUCCUCCGUCUUCCCCCCGAACCUUUUACCUUUCUUUCUUUCUUCUCCAAGACUAGCAAGCUGAGAUUUCAACCCGUCUCUCUAAGAAGCAGCGGCAUGCUUUUCCAAACGCAAUCUGCAAUUUAAUCAAACAGCCACCGAAUUUUCUGGAAUCCGGUCAACGCAGCGAUGCUCCGGAUUUUGAUCGGUCAACGCCAGCUGCUUACCUGAGCUCCAAAAGACCCAACAGUGAUGACGUCCUCCACCUCUGUUUCUGUUUGGCUGAUUCUGCUGUUUGGCUUCUUUCACCUCCACAAGCUUGCUGCCAAUGUCGAAGGUAAUGCUCUGUGUGUUAUUGAAUUUGGGAGUGUUUGGUUGUGGGAACUGGAAUGAACUAAUGAAUGAAUGAAUGACUGGAAACAUUCCCGAAGAGCUUGGGGGUUUGUCGGACUUGGUGAGCUGGAUCAUUACUUGGCAACCUUGCAAAACUGCGUUUCCUGUAUGAACCCCCAUCCUUUUGUUAGAUAAAAUCUGUCGUCUUUCUUUUUCAUUCGAUAUGCUAAUCUACUGUUUUUAAUUGUUCCUUUGGAGUGACUUUCUUCCUUAAAGUCCAUGAUAGCAUUUCGGUUAAACCCAAAAUAUUACUUGGGUUGACUAUGAUCUCCCAAUAUUCUGGUCAAGGCACAAUACAAAACAAGUGAUAAAACAAUACGAAAAAAGAACAAAACAUGGGAAAACACGUAAUUGGAACCUUGAAGGCAAAUAUUCCAUGUGCCGGAUGCAUACAAUUUAAAAUAUGACCCCUGUCUUCAAGAUUCAUAAGAAGGGAACAUCCAAUCAUUGCAAGUCCUGUGGGUUUCAUACACUUUCAUCUCUGUAAGAGGGAGGAAGAGCGAAAAGUUACUAAUUUCUCCGCUAUCAGAGAAUGCUAAUAACAUUUAGUUUUGCCAUGGAAUGCAGGGAUCUUUCAAAUAACAAUCUGACGGGGGAUCUUUUUCACUUUUUACUCCCAUCACAGGUUUGUUCUAAAGUGAAUUACAUGCAGGUUUUUACAACUUAUACUUUUUCACUUUUAACGGGCUGAGCCCAAAUCCUAAACUUAUUACUUUCCAGAUGGCUCUGUUUUGUUCCACUUCCAGCCUCUCCACAUCCAGGUUUUUACAACUUAUACUGUUCUUGUGAUAUUAACUCAAAUUUAUUCUGAGAGCUGGCUCUAUUUUGUUUCACAGACACUUGUGAUAUCAACUCCAGUCCAGUCCUAGUUAAUGUUUUUUUUGGUGUUUUUCUGUUAAAACUUUUCGUAAUACAACAUUAUUGUUGGAAUCACUGCUGUAAAGAUUUUAAGAAGAUGGUAGUUAGGAAAGGAAUAGAUUGAGGGUAUUUAUAUUAUUCUGAUUAGAAAGUUAAGUGAAUUUAUUGUUUUUGAUUUGUAAACAAAUUGCUUACAAAUAAUCAAAUUCUAUUAAACAAAAAUAAUUGCUUACAAUAAAGUAUAACUAUAAAUAUCAUUGUAAAAUGUAUUUUAUAAAUAUUUUUAAUUUAUGUUUUUUAACGAAUUGAGAACGAAUCAAACUGAAUAUCAUAUUGUCUAUGUGUCUUUGGCAAAUGAUACUACAGGUUACUACCGAAUUUCGUACCUUAACCGAAUUGCGAACUCGAACCAUACCCUGUAUGUGGCAACUAUGGGUGCCAAGUACUGGGGCUAUUUCUGGAGGGGGGCUAUUGCUGGAGGGGUUGCUGCUGGUUCUGCUUUCCUGUUUGCUGCACUUGCAAUUGCAUUUGCUUAUUGUCGACGAAGAAAAUCACAGGAUUAUUUCUUUGAUGAACCUGGUUAGUGAACUAUUAAGAGUAAUAUAGCUUGAUCAAGUUGGCAUUGUAUGGGAUGCAGGUUUCACUCAUCUACUGUCUUUGCAGCUGAGAAGGAUCCAGAAGUUCAUUUACGACAGUUCAAAAGGUUCUUUGAGCGAGCUACAAGUUGCGACGGAUACCUUUAGCGACAAAAAUAUUCUUGGUAGUGGUGGAUUUGGUAAGGUUUAUAAAGGACGCUUAGAUGAUGGAACUCUGGUUGCUGUAAAAAGACUUAAAGAGGAGAGAACCCAAGGCGGGGAGCUACAGUUCCAAACAGAAGUUGAAAUGAUUAGCAUGGCUGUCCACCGCAAUCUGCUUCGUGUGCAUGGUUUUUGCACGACACCAACAGAAAGGCUGCUUGUAUAUCCUUUUAUGGCCAAUGGAAGUGUGGCAUCAUGUUUAAGAGGUACUCAUCUAAAUUGUUUGCUGCGUUGAUGAAUCUUUUUGUUUUCAUGACAUUAAAAUUUUUUUGGAUUACAUUGAUAUAAUGAACCUGACCAAUUUGGUUUGGAGUAUGAACACUGAUUUUUUUUUUUUAAUGUUUUUUUUUUCCUUCAAUUUUAAGUUAUCUUCUCGAUGCUGAUUUUAUUUUGUUUAAUUUGAAAAGGAUGACAAGAUGACCCUUUUUUGGGUAGGACGGGUGGUAUGAUAUGUGUUAGACCACAUUACCUGUUGCUUGUAAUUUGAAAUUCUCCUCUCAUAAGUAUGUGGAUAUAUUAUUGUAGAUCGUCCAGAAGGACAACCUGCACUUGAUUGGCCAAUAAGACAACGCAUUGCAUUGGGAUCUGCAAAAGGUCUUGCUUAUUUACAUGAUCACUGUGAUCCAAAAAUUAUUCACCGUGAUGUGAAAGCAGCAAACAUAUUGUUGGAUGUGGAAUUCGAAGCAGUUGUUGGAGACUUUGGGUUGGCUAAACUCAUGGACUACAGGGAUACACAUGUUACCACAGCUGUACGUGGCACAAUUGGUCAUAUAGCACCAGAGUACUUUUCAACUGGAAAAUGUUCCGAGAAAACUGAUGUUUUUGGAUACGGAGUCAUGCUUCUUGAACUCAUCACUGGGCAGAGGGCUUUUGAUCCUCAGCUUGCGAGUCAUGAUGACCCCAUGUUAGUUGAUUGGGUAUGCAUUUACAUCUUUCUGUUUGUGUAUGUAGCUAAUUUAUUGUUAUAUGCAAGAUUAUUAUUUCUUGGGAGCAGCCUCUCCAUAAAUGGGGGUAAGGCUAGCCGACAUUCACCUCUUCCAGACCCUGCGUAAAGCGGGAGCCUUGUGCACUGGGUACGACCUUUAUGCAAGAUUAUUAUUUCCCAACAACAUUUGCAUUUCCUUAGUAAUUAGCUUUUAGAAAAUAAGUUUGGUUUAAUUAGCUUUUAUUAGUUAGAGUUGUGAUUAGCUGUGAAGAUUUGUUUAUCUUUAUUUAUAACAAUCUAAGGUUUAAGCUGUCAGAGUUAAUUUUUGCAUUUCCUUAGUAAUUGUUACCAUUCCUGUUUGAUUAAUGUAAAAAUCACUUGUCUUUUUGGCCCGAAUGUUGAAAACAGUAAGAAUCAUGGAUCAAAGAAAAGAAAUAAUACUUAACUUUUAGAAAAUAACUUUAGUUUAAUUGGCUUUUAUUAGUUAGAGUUACGAUUAAGCUGUGAAGAUAUAUUUAUCUUUAUUUAUGACAAUCUAAGGUUUAAAUUGUCAGAGAUUAAUUAUUACAUUUCCUUGGUAAUUGUUGUUAGUAUUGUUGUUGCUUCUUUUGCCAAUGUAUUGGCCUUGCUGUGAUUUCUUGAAGAAUUUGGCAUGUGUUUUGUAUCGAUCCUAAUUUCCUCAUCAUCUCUUUAUUCUCGCUAUCUUGGCCUCUUGCUUCUUUCUAUUCUCUCUAUUUGCAUCUUUGUCAAUUGUUAUAUUUGAAUGACGAUGCAUUUUUGUAAGCUAUUUGAUUUUCUGGAGAUACUGCGGCCCUUCAAAUUUUGAACAUUACAACACAUUUUCACUCUCCUAGGUGCCCUCACCUUUUGUUUCAAAUUGUAGAACUAUCUGACGUUUUCCGUUUUAUUUUAACUAAAACAAUUAGGUCAAAAGACUACUGAAAGAUCGAAGGUUGGAAACACUUGUUGAUGCUGAUCUAAAUGGUAAUUAUGUUGACGAUCAAGUGGAGCAGCUCAUCCAAGUAGCUCUACUGUGCACACAAGGCACCCCAGGGGAACGACCCAAGAUGUCAGAGGUUGUUCGGAUGCUGGAAGGCAAUGGUUUGGCUGAAAGAUGGGAGGAGUGGCAAAAAGAGUAGGUGUUCCACCAAGAUUUCAACCCUAUUCAUCAUCCAAGUACUAAUUGUAUCAUAGACUCAACUUUUCAUAUUCCUCCUGAUGAGUUGUCCGGUCCCAAAUGAUAUGCUCGUUGGUUCUGUCCCCUGUAUACAUCUAAGAAGCCUUCAGAGGACUGGAGAAUGUCCAUUUCGUAUUUCAGUGAUACCACAUUUGUGCUUAUGUUUUGUCUUUGUUUUCAAUUUUGGUUUUGUCUUGCGUAUUUUUUAGAUCAUAAAAUGGAGCUGAUGCUAUUGUAAUUUGGGAUGUGCUAUCCACACAUCACUUUUUACUUCUCACACACCCCUUGUUAAUUUCUGUCCGUUGAUCUUCUUCAAUUCAUCUGAUCCGACGGCCGAAAACCAAAAAGGUGUGGGAGAAGUAAAAAGGGGUGUGUGGAUAUCACACCCCUUGUAAGUUUUAUAGGGUCAACUGGCAUUACGAAGUUAUAUGGUGCUAGCAGGAAUUAGGAAGGGCCAUAAAAGCACUCAUUCCUGAUGAUUUAUGUAUCUAUCUAGAAAUUAGUCUAAAUUGUCGAGUAAAUAAUCAUUCUAAACUUAUAACCAUCUAUAUAUUUUAGUGUUCCUAUAGAUCCUGUAGAUACGAUAAGGACACUAGGUCAAGUGCAUGGCUGGUUGCGGAUGGAUAGUGUUUGAAAUUUCAUUGUGAUCAUUGCAAGUGCGAAUUUGUGGCACCACCUUUAUAAGUACUUGAACUAAGGCAGUAGGGGAUCAGGAGAUCACUUUGUGUCAUUCCAACACAGGAAUUCGAGCUUUGUCUAAUCUCUUUAGAGUAUCGCCAAUGGGGAUCCCUCUACUAUCUUUGAGGAUUUAUUUAGGACUAGCUGUAGGGUAAGACCUAAACCUAAAUAUUUGAGUUUAAACAAAAUAAAAAUGCAAUCUAAUUGUGGGACUUUUUUGUUUUUUAUGAACAAAAAAAUAUUAUCUGGAUUGAGUUAAGCCUUAUAGUGGGCUAGUAAUGACCUCUCUUACAUGUGAAGAGGAAUACUAUUAAACCGUAGUACUAGGUAAUAUCUAAUGGUUGGACUUAAACCUAAAAGGUUUGGCUUUUGACCAAGCUAAACCCAAAUUUGGGUUUGUAUUUGGCUGACCCAAAUUUUUGGGGGCCCUACCUUUUUUUCUGAAAAGCAACGGGCCAAUGAUUUAUUGAAGUGGCCGCGGCAUAUGGGUUAGGGGUGGUUCGGUAUGGGAUCCCAUACCAAAACACUUGUCCCGAUUCUCAAACCGAAAUUUUCGGGAAUCCCAAUUUCAAUACCGAUCCCAAACCAAAUUUUCGGGAAUCCCAAUUUUUGGGAAUCCCAAAAUAGUUUCGGGAUUUCGGGACAAAUCGGGAAUCCCGAAAUGGUUUUGGGCUUUUGGGCUUUUAGACUAAAAUUUGACAUAUUAUGCUUUUAGGCCCAAUCUGCCAAUUUGUUUCUACAAAUCUGCCAAUCAAAUCUGCCAAUCAAAUGGCAAGGCUUGUUUCUACUAAUCUCUACUUAAUAUUAAUACUAACACUUAGUUUUCAUUUCGAUGCAGAGAGUGAUGGAUCAACUGCAAAAUAGUGAAAGAAAACUAAGAAGCUCAAAACUGUACACAAAAACCAAAAUCAAGCAAAACGAAGAAGCUCAAAACUGAACAUUGCAAAGUAAACGCCAGAAACUGAGCACAGAAACUGAGCAAGCAUGCCAAGAAUCAAAGCAAACCCCACAAGAGUCAAGAAAUGAUAAUUGAGUCAUUCGAAGAGUACCCAGACAAGUUCUGUGCACAAAUUUGACAAUAUGGCUAGCAAAUAGCAAGCAAACAACAAAUAAUUAACAAGAACUAGUAACAGUGAGCAGAAUCAUAAGGUCUGAUUAGCUCACCUUCAUCAAGCACAAUUCCGACGUUCAAUCCCUUGAAAACAUCAGAUUCAGCCAGCUUCUCAGCACCGUCGUGUCCCCCAAUCUCCUCAUCAGGACCAUAUGACAAAUAAACAGACCUUUUGGGCUUAAACCCAGAAGCCUUGAGCCGUCGAAUCGCCUCCAAGUACUGAAUCCCGACGCACUUCAUGUCCUGGGACCCCCUGGCGUAAACGUCGCCGUUCGAGUCCAAGUUGGCCGAGAAAGGGGGGGUGUAACCACUUGUCGUGCUCGGCCGGAACGAUGUCGGUGUGGGAAUUGAGAAGAACAGAGGAGAGAGAGAUGAGAUGAGGGCUUGUCGGCUAGAUGAGGGAGAGAUCAGAGAUGAGAGAUUAGGGCUCGGCUAUUCGAUUUGAUAGAAACAAUGGAACGAAAGUGAAGUUUGUGAAAUGGUAUUCUGACCUAAAAACAUAUGAACGGCAAAGAUUAAAUCCAAAACAAUGAACGGUUGAAAUAAUUCUUUUAUAAUUAAAAGAAAAAAAAAAAAUAUAUAUAUAUAUAAUAUUUAUUUUCGAUUCGGUCUGGGAAUACCGAAAAUUUGAGAUUCAAAACCGAAUCCCAUACCGAAAAUAUCGGUUUGGUUCGGGAUUACAUACCGAAAAUUUCGGGAUUUUUGGUUUGGGAUUUUUUUGGUUUGAGAUCGGGAUUUUUUUGGUUUGGUUUGGGAUUUUUGGGAUUUUUUUCCGGGUUCCUCAUGCCAGCUGCAAAACAAUUUCAGGAAUCAGCUAAAAAGUCAAAAAUAAAUAUAAAUAAAAGAAGAAACGGAACUUCCAACGCGGUGGGCUGCGACUUUGCCUGAUUCUGCUAUUUAUUUUAACGAAAAAUCAUAUUUUUACAUUAAAAAGUCAAUCAUGAUACUUUACCUUUUAUUUUAUUAUUAUCGUUAAAACUCAAAUUUUUCAAACUAUUUUCAUUAAUUUUUCUUUAAAAUAAUUUAUAAUGCAUAAAACCAGAAAUCUCAUUUUGAGUGAGAAGUUGCAUAAACAAUGUCAGGAAUCCGCUGAAAAGUAAAAAAUAAAUAUAAACAAAAGAAGAAACGAAACUUCCGACGCGGUGGGCUGCGACUUAGACUGAUUGAGAGUCAUGUAUCCGCAGCUCCUCCGUCUUCCUCCCAAACCUUUUACCUUUUCUUUCUUUCUUCUCCAAAACUAGCAAUCUGAGAUUUCAACCUCUCUCUCUAAGAAGCAGCGGCAUGCUUUUCCAAACGCAAUCUGCAAUUUAAUCAAACAGCCACCGAAUUUUCUGGAAUCCGGUCAACGCAGCGAUGCUCCGGAUUUUGAUCGGUCAACGCCAGCUGCUUACCUGAGCUCCAAAAGACCCAACAGUGAUGACGUCUUCCACCUCUGUUUCUGUUUGGCUGAUUCUGCUGUUUGGCUUCUUUCACCUCCACAAGCUUGCAGCCAAUGUCGAGGGUAUGUCUCUGUGUGUUAUUGAAUUUGGGAGUGUUUGGUUGUGGGAACUGGAAUGAACUAAUGAAUGAAUGAAUGACUGGAAACAUUCCCGAAGAGCUUGGGGGUUUGUCAGACUUGGUGAGCUUGGAUCUUUACUUGGCAACCUUGCAAAACUGCGUUUCCUGUAUGAACCCCCAUCCUUUUGUUAGAUAAAAUCUAUCGUCAUUCUUUUUUAUUCGAUAUGCUAAUCUGCUGUUUUUAAUUGUUCCAUUGGAGUGACUUUCUUCCUUAAAGUCCUUGUGCCGGAUGCAUAUAAUUUAUAGUAUGAUCCCUGGUUUCAAGAUUCAGUCAUUGCAAGUCCUGUGAGUUUCAUACACUUUCAUCUCAGUAAGAGGGAGGAGAGAGUGAAAAGUUACUAAUUUCUCUGCCAUCAGAGAAUGCAAAUAACAUAUAGUUUUGCCAUGGAAUGCAGGGAUCUUUCAAAUAACAAUCUGACAGGGGAUAUUCCAGUUAAUGGAUCGUUUUCACUUUUUACUCCCAUCAGGUUUGUUGAAGCAACUGUACUCUUUUUCUUUAACUUUAGGGACAAAAAUAACAAUCUGACAGGGGAUACACUUUCAUCUCAGUAAGAGGGAGGAGAGGGUAAUAUAGCUUGAUCAAGUUGGUGUUGUAGUUGUUGUAUGGGAUGCAGGUUUCACUCAUCUACUGUCUUUGCAGCUGAGAAGGAUCCACAAGUUCAUUCACGACAGCUCAAAAACUUUUCUUUGCGCGAGCUACAAGUUGCAACAGAUACCUUUAGCGACAAAAAUAUUAUUGGUAGAGGUGGAUUUGGUAAGGUUUAUAGAGGACGCUUAGCUGAUGGAACUCUGGUUGCUGUAAAAAGACUUACAGAGGAGAGAACCCAAGACGGGGAACUACAGUUUCAAACAGAAGUUGAAAUGAUUAGAAUGGCUGUCCACCACCGCAAUCUGCUUUGUCUCCAUGGUUUUUGCAUGACACCAACAGAAAGGCUGCUUGUAUAUCCUUAUAUGGCUAAUGGAAGUGUGGCAUCUUGUUUAAGAGGUACUCAUCUAAAUUGUUUGCUGCGUUGAUGAAUCUUUUUGUUUUCACGACGUUAAAUUUUUUUUCGAUCACAUUGAUAUAAUGAAUUUAAAAACCUGACCAAUUUGGCUUGGAGUAUCAACACUAAUUUUUUUAAUGUUUUGUUUCCUUCAAUUUUAAUUUACCUUCUCGAUGCUGAUUUUAUUUCUGUUUAAUUUGAAAAGGAUGACAAGAAGACCCUUUUUUUGGGUAGGACGGGUGGUAUGAUAUGUGUUAGACCACAUUACCUGUUGCUUGUAAUUUGAAAUUCUCCUCUCAUAAGUAUGUGGAUAUAUUAUUGUAGGUCGUCCGGAAGGACAACCUGCACUUGAUUGGCCAAUAAGACAACGCAUUGCAUUGGGAUCUGCAAGAGGCCUUGCUUAUUUACAUGAUCACUGUGAUCCAAAAAUUAUUCACCGUGAUGUGAAAGCAGCAAACAUAUUGUUGGAUGAGGAAUUCGAAGCAGUUGUUGGAGACUUUGGGUUGGCUAAACUCAUGGACUACAAGGAUACAUAUGUUACCACACAUGUAUGUGGCACAUUUGGUCAUAUGGCACCGGAGCACUUUUCAACUGGAGUGUCUUCCGAGAAAACUGAUGUUUUUGGAUACGGAGUCAUGCUUCUUGAACUCAUCACUGGGCAGAGGGCUUUCAAUCCUCAUCUUGCGAGUGAUGAUGAUGUCAUGUUAGUUGAUUGGGUAUGCAUUUACGUCUUUCUGUUUGUGUAUGUAGCUAGUUCAUUGUUAUAUGCAAGAUUAUUUCCCAACAACAUUUGCAUUUCCUUAGUAAUUAGCUUUUAGAAAAUAAGUUUGGUUUAAUUAGCUUUUGUUAGUUAGAGUUAUGAUUAGCUGUGUAGAUUUGUUUAUCUUUAUUUAUAACAAUCUAAGGUUUAAACUGUCAGAGAUUAAUUAUUGCAUUUCCUUAGUAAUUGUUACUAUUGUUGUUGCUUCUUUUGCCAAUGUAUUGGCAUUUUGUGAUUUCUUGAAGAAUUUGGCAUAUGUUUUGUGUCGAUCGUAAUUUCCUCAUCAUCUCCUUAUUCUCGCUAUCGUGGCCUCUUGCUUUUUCCUAUUCUCUCUAUUGCAUCUUUGUCUUCUCUUUGCAUGAUAUCAAUAUUUGAAUGACGAAACAUUUUUGUAAGCAGUUCGAUUUUCUGUAGAAAACUGCGGUCCUUCAAAUUUUGAACAUUACAACACGUUUUUGUUCUCCUAGGUUCCCGCACCUUUUGUUUCAAAUUGUAGAACCACCCGACAUUUUCUGUUUUAUUUUUCCUAAAAAAAUUAGGUCAAACGACUACUGAAAGAACGGAGGUUGGAAAGACUUGUUGAUGCUGAUCUAAAUGGAAAUUAUAUUGACGAUCAAGUGGAGCAGCUGAUCCAAGUAGCUCUACUGUGCACACAAGGCUCCCCAGGGGAACGGCCCAAGAUGUCAGAGGUUGUCCGAAUGCUUGAAGGCGAAGGCGAAGGUUUGGCUGAAAGAUGGGAGGAGCGGCAAAACGAGGAGGUGAUCUGCCAAGAUUUCAACACUAUUCAUCAUCCAAGUACUUGGAUCAUAGACUCACCCUCUCCUAAUUUUGUGUUGUACUAUUUCUUUGAGUUUGAAGAAAUGGAUAAAAAGAAUGACAUGUGAUAGAGAGUUCAUCAUAUAACUUCUGACUUUAAGGAUUUUUCAUUUAGUUCUGGUUCAUGUUGCGCAAAUAAUAUUAGGUAACACUGCUACUGGGGCUAUUGCUGGAGGGGUUGCUGUUGGUGCUGCUUUAACGUUUGCUGCAACUGCAAAUACACUUGCUUAUUGGCGACGGAGAAAACCACAGGAUCAUUUCUUUGAUGUACCUGGUUAGUGAACUAUAGGAGUAAUAUAGCUUGAUAAAGGUGGUGUUUUAGUAUGGGAUGCAGGUUUCACUAAUCUACUGUCUUUGCAGCUGAGGAGGAUCCAGAAGUUCUUUUAGGACAGCUCAAAAGGUUUUCUUUGCGCAAACUACAAGUUGCAACGGAUAACUUUAGUAACAAAAAUAUUCUUGGUAGAGGUGGAUUUGGUAAGGUUUAUAAAGGACGCUUAGCUGAUGGAACUCUGGUUGCUGUAAAAAGACUUAAAGAGGCGAGAACCCAAGGUGGGGAGCUGCAGUUUCAAACAGAGGUUGAAAUGAUUAGCAUGGCUGUCCACCGCAAUCUGCUUCGUCUGCAUGGUUUUUGCAUGACACCAACAGAAAGGCUGCUUGUAUAUCCUUAUAUGGCUAAUGGAAGUGUGGCAUCAUGUAUAAGAGGUACUCUUCUAAAUUGUUUGCUGCGUUGAUGAAUCUUUUUGUUUACACAUGGGUAAAUUGCAUUUUACACCCUCAGGUUUGAGUGUAAUUGCAACCUCAUACAACAUUUUAAAACAUUUCAAUUUUAUUUAUUUACUUAUCAUUUUUAGCAAUUUCAUACAUCUGAUAGUCAAACCGUCAGUUUGACUGUUAAGGGAUGACAUGGCAAAUGUGAGGUCUACAUUUUGUUGACGGGGAUGCCAACUAUGAUUCACGUGGAAUAAAAACAAAUAAAAAGGAUUAAUAAAUAGAAAAUUAAUUUUUUUUUAAUUUAAAACUAAAAAAAUAGAAAAGAUUAAAAAAAAAAAAUGGUGUUGUUCAUCCCUAUCCUGCUCUCACCCCGUCCCCGCAUUCUUCAUUUCCCCCCGCCCACCAUCGCCACCUUCCCUUUCCUCAGCCACUGCAAUGAAUAGACCACAUUACCUGUUGCUUGUAAUUUGAAAUUCUCCUCUCAUAAGUAUGUGGAUAUAUUAUUGUAGAUCGUCCCGAAGGACAACCUGCACUUGAUUGGCCAAUAAGACAACGCAUUGCAUUGGAAUCUGCCAGAGGCCUUGCUUAUUUACAUGAUCACUGUGAUCCAAAAAUUAUUCACCGUGAUGUGAAAGCAGCAAACAUAUUGUUGGAUGAGGAAUUCAAAGCAGUUGUUGGAGACUUUGGGUUGGCUAAACUCAUGGACUACAGGGAUACACAUGUUACCACAGCUGUACGUGGCACAAUUGGUCAUAUAGCACCAGAGUACCUUUCAACUGGAAAAUGUUCCGAGAAAACUGAUGUUUUUGCAUACGGAGUCAUGCUUCUUGAACUCAUCACUGGGCAGAGGGCUUUUGAACUUGCUCGGCUUGCGACCAAUGAUGAUGUCAUGUUACUUGAUUGGGUAUGCUUAUACGUGUUUCUGUUUCUGUUUGUUGCUAAUUUUCUGUUUUCCUUAAUAUGUUUCAUAUUUUAUUAAAAAAAAAAGACAUAAUGUUGUUGAAAUUCAACGAUCUAUUGUGUCUCUUUGUCCAAAUCUUGGAAAUUAUGUUUCAAUACUCAUUUUUAAAGAAAUGUUAUAUAAUAUAGUGUGAAUUAGGUGUAUCUCUCGAUACCAAUGUUGCUAUUUAUUUAAGCCAAAAAUAAUGGGUCUCGACACCUAAUCACUUUAUUUCAAACCGCUAAUCUCAUAUGACAUUCUUAAUCAUUGUAUAUGGAACAUUUAAAAACCUAUUACUCAUCAUAGAGCUGCCAAGUUCCUCUCUAAUUAAUGUAAAAAUCACUUAGUCUUUUUUGGCCCGAAUAUUGAAAACAAUUAGAAUCAUGGAUCAAAGAAAAGAACUAAUACUUAACUUUUAGAAAAUAAUUUUAGUUUAAUUACCUUUUAUUAGUUAGACUUACGAUUAAACUGUGAAGAUUUAUUUAUCUUUAUUUAUAACAAUCUAAGAUUUAAAUUGUCAGAGAUUAAUUAUUACAUUUCCUUGGUAAUUGUUGUUAGUAUUGUUGUUGCUUCUUUUGCCAAUGUAUUGGCCUUGCGGUGAUUUCUUGAAGAUUUUGGCAUGUGUUUUGUAUCGAUCCUAAUUUCUUCAUUAUCUCUUUAUUCUCGCUAUCUUGGCCUCUUUCUUCUUUCUAUUCUCUGUUUGCAUCCUUGUCAUAUGUUUGCAUCAUAUCAAUAUUUGAAUGACGAUGCAUUUUUGUAAGCAGUUUGAUUUUAUGGAGAUACUGCAGCCCUUCAAAUUUUGAACAUUACAACACAUUUUCACUCUCCUAGGUGCCCUCACCUUUUGUUUCAAAUUGUAGAACUAUCUGAUUUUUUUCCUUUUUAUUUUAACUAAAAUAAUUAGGUCAAAGGACUACUGAAGGAUCAGAGGUUGGAAACAAUUGUUGAUGCUGAUCUACAUGGAAAUUAUGUUGACGAUCAAGUGGAGCAGCUCAUCCAAGUAGCUCUGCUGUGCACACAAGGCACCCCAGGGGAACGACCCAAGAUGUCAGAGGUUGGCCGGAUGCUGAAAGGUGAUGGUUUGGCUGAAAGAUGGGAGGAGUGGCAAAAAAAGGAGGUGUUCCGCCAAUAUUUCAACCCUAUUCAUCAUCCAAGUACUAAUCGGAUCAUAGACUCAACUUCUCAUGGUCCUCUAGAUGAGUUGUCCGGUCCUAGAUGAUAUGCUCGUUGGUUCCGUCCCCUUGUAUACAUGUAAGAAGCCUCAGAGGACUAGAGAAGGUCCAUUUUGUAUUUCAGUGAUACCACAUUUGUGCGAAUGUUUUGUCUUUGUUUUCGAUUUUGUUUUUGUGUCGCUUAUUUUUAAGAUCACAAAAAUGGAGCUGGUGCUGUUGUAAUUUUUAUAGGGUUAACUGGCAUUACGAAGUUAUAUUGUGCUAGCAGGAAUCAGGAAGGUCCAUAAAAGCACCCAUUCCUAAUGAUUUAUGUAUCUUUCCAACAAUUAGUCCAGAUUGUCGAGUAAAUAAUCUUUCUGAACUUAUAACUAUCUAUAUUUUUUAGUGUUCUUAUAGAUCCUAUAGAUACAUCCUAUAGAUACGAUAAGGGCAUUAGGUCAAGUGCAUGGGUGCUUGUGGACGGAUAGUGUUUGAAAUUUCAUUGUGAUCAUUGCAAGUGCAACUUUGUGGCGCUACCCUUAUAAGCACUUGAACUAAGGCAUUAGGGGAUCUAGAGAUCACUUUGUGUCACUCCAACAUGGGAAUUCGAGUUGUCUAUCCUCUUUAGAGAAUCGCCAAUGGAGACCCAAACCUAAAUAUUUGGGUUUAAACAAAAUAAAAAUGGAAUCUAACGGUGGGACUUUUUUUGUUUUUUUGAACAAAAAAUAUUAUCUACAUUAAAGGGGUAGGGGAUUAUGUUAAUCCUUAUAGUGAACAAAAAAUUACUAUUUAAUAUUUUAUAUAUUUAUUCAAAAUUUUAUAUUAUUAUAUCACUAUUUUAAUAUUUUCUUUGUGAUAUAUUUUUAUUUUUUUAUUAAUAUUUUCGGCCUGUGGGGUCCACAAUCACCCAGGCUCUUCUCUCAUUUUCUGCCAUGUGUUUUGUCUCCUCCCUCACUCCACCUCUCCCUCUCUCCCAUAAGACUCAUUUCCUCUCUCCUUCGGUGAAACCCAAUGACGCCGAAACCACCACCACCUUGCCGAUGCGACUCCAGCGGGUUACUCCACUUGAUGACCCAGGCUAGCACCACCUUCGUCAUUUUCUCCCCCUAUGUCGAACCAGCACCACUCACUUUCUUCCCCGAGGCCAUUGUUCACAUUUUUCUUUUUCGACAACAUUCAUGGCGAGUUCUCGUCGUUCAUGACAAAGGUAAGGUUCGAAAACCCUCAACAUCUUCGUAGAUUGUGUUUAUGAGUAUGACGAGGAUGUUCUUAAGAUGUUUUAGUGCUGGUUUGACGUAGAAAUACCCCAAGAGUAACAAACCCAGUGUUCCGGCAGAGAUCUGGCGGCUUUCGAGCCAUUUUUUGGCCAACUCCGGCCAAGACCAAGGAAACCAAAGGUAUAUUCCAAUUCCUUGAUCCGAAUCUGAACUCGGGAUCCGGCCCGAUCUGUUCUAAAUUGUAUAUGAAAUAUUCCAGAAUAUUCCCUGUGUUGACUUUUAAGAAAUUUUCUCAGAAACCCUCAUAGGCUAAUUUUGACGUCCCAAGUCCAUUUUUGACAUCUAUUUAGGAAAAUCAUGAAGUUUUAACAUAGUUGACCACCAAGGCGUCUCGUUGACAUUUUAGGGUUGACCGUUCACAUUUCGUUGACUUUUUACAAAAUUUGCAUUUAACCCCUCUUAGCGUAUUUCGACACUCUGAUUCUAAAUUCGCACUCCGUUUUCUCAAAUUUGAUCGUUUAAGUUGAGUUUUACUAAUGAGUCCUAAUAUUAUACUUUGGUGCGAUUACUAUCGGAGACUCCGACUUUCUUAGCUUGAAAGGAUGUGACAUCGCAGGUACUUGUGAGUGGGUCUUUUCUUUUAUAUAGUGUGUAUAUAUAUAUAUAUAUAUAUAUAUAUAUUUGUUAGUUUCCAUUUAUAUAUUUGGUAAAGAAUUUUCUAAGUUACACCUAUAUUAGGGUAACGUAUAUAAAAAUUAACGUAUUGACAGAAUUCAUGUAAUUAUACUACGUUCUAUGGGAUACACAGGUAUGCGUAUUAGUAUGGAUGCUUUAAUGGUAUUUACGGUUAUGAAUAAUAUUCCAUUGACUAGGGUUAUUGAAUUAUCGCAUUAUCAAUUUACCAUUGCAUGAUCAUAUUUGUGUUAUUUACUCAUCGUGUGCUGCACUGGUGUUAGUACUUGCCCAGGCCAGGGCCAAUCUUUCACGUGUAUGUUCACAUCGCACUGUACGCUUAGUUUGGAUCCAUUGUAGGUGUAAUCCUAUCCUAGAUUGCGAUAGGCAAUUAGGACUCAUAUGUGAGGCACUUAGCGCUAGCCUUCACGUGAUUGUAGUACUAGAGCGUAAAUCAUUGCUUACACCCAGUCAUGUUCAUGUCAGAAUACCUCUGCAUGAACUCGUGUAUCAGCAUAUGUCAAUGAGCACUCGAUGUGAUAUGUUUAUUUCUGCGAGAUAUUGUGAUUACUAUAAGUUAUGUACCUAUUUAUGAAUUUUGUGACGUAUUGAAUUCUUAAGAUUUUGCAGGCUACAGUAAGUAUUUUCAUACUAUACGUAGUAUGUAAAUUUUGGAAACUAUACUUGUUUUACGAUAAGGGGUUAUAAUGUUUUCAAAAAGCUUUUUAUAAAACUUUAUUUUAGGCCCACUCACCCUUGUUUUUCUCCCCUCUAAGAUUUAGUGGCAAUGUUCGUGUCGACAAGGAUUUCUAGCAAACGCUGAUAUCAGAGACUACUUCUGAUGGUAUAAUUCUCAAUCUACUCUAUUGUACUUUACUUAUACUCUGACAUCACAUGUGAACUAGGUUGAUUCCCGCUCACUAACGCACUCUUAUACUUAGGCACUUUUAGAUUUAAAUUUAUUUCCAUUUUCCAAAUCACUAUAUUUUAUGGCUUCGUCACUCUCCUGGUGUCGACCAGCACACCUCGAUUCGGAGCCUAAGUAGGCAUUCCGGGUCAGGGUGUGUCAGUUUGGUAUCAGAGCAUAAGUUUGGUCAGCAUUGCGUUCAUCACACGCGUGCUGUAAGCAUUCUUGGUUCUUGAACCUAAUUGUCGAAUCUUGUCACCUCGUCGAAUACAAAAAAUGUGUUAGCUUUUCUUGAGUUAUGGGUUACUUAGACGACUUAUUGACAUGUUAGAAGAAUACUUUGGCGACCACCUCUAAACUUUAAGCGAAGGAUUUUCCUGCCAAGGAAAUAUGUAGAUUUGAGACAAGUUGAUGGCCCUGAAGCAGGGCUACUAUAUCGAUAGUUGUGCAUCACGAGAGAUUUACCAACCAAAUCCACUACCAUCUGGUCAUUUCUACCAACCCUUUUAAGUUAGAAAACCAUAAACAGUUUUGAUUCCUUGGCAUUACCCGUUAGUAUACCACAUAUCAGAAUUCCUGUGAAGUUUUAGUUUUUGUCAAAAUUUCCAAAAAUGUCCCGAAUGACAAUGUGGUGCUAAAAGGGUAGCAUUCGACAGAAGAACAUCUAGGGGAUAAUCACUUUUGUUCCCUGAUAACACUAAUCUUCUUAAGCGCACUGGUUAUCAUUUCGGAUCCUCAGGAGGAAGAUCGAUUUCCAUUUAGGUUAUUAACAAAUUUCUUUUCCGGUGUGGACCCCACCAUUGACAUUUGGUCAACAGGUCUUGAACCAUUUGAAUUACUAAAAUUAGUAUUACUAGAGACUCAGUGAAGCUUUGCUGACUUGUCUCGGUGAGUGACUUUAAUAUAUGUGAUAUGGUGAUUACCCGAUUCUUUAUAUUACUAUCCUUUGUGGAUAUGACAUGGUUUUAUAAAUGUGUUUUCUGUUAAAAUGUGAUUCUUUUAUAAUUGGCCAUCGAUCUAUUUUUAUUAAAUGUGAUUUGAUUCAUGGAUUGGUAAUAUUUGUGAAAAAGUGAUUCGAAUUGCAUAUUGAAAUGUUUUGUAAAUUGAGGGCUAGUAGAGGACUAUGACCCUGCUUGGUUAAUCCGCAUUGGGGGGUCAUUAGUGGUCCUGCUUGGUUAAUCCGCAUUGAGGGACCAUACUAUAUAUGGAUCGUGCUUGGUUAAUCUGCGUUGGGCGAUCCUUAUGGCCAUUUAUACUUAGGGGUGAUCAUGCUUGAUUAAUCCGCUUGGUUAAUUCGCAUUGGGGGGGGGGUGAUGAGUUCAUAUUAUACUAUAUAUUUCACCCUAUUCUUAGUAUUAAUUUAUUGAUUAUUUUGGUAGAAUUUUGAUACUUUGUUUUAUAUUUUCAACAUAGGAUAUUCAAUUUCCUCUGGAACAAAACUUGACCAAAUGGACGAAAUUUCGAGUGAUUCAAAUUGGAGGACGUUCGUGUGUUGUUUGUGUCAAAAUAUCAGAAAUUUCUACCAAGCGGUUAUUUUCUGGAGAUUAAAUGAAGGAGCAGUGCGCAUUGCUGGAAAGUGACAUUUCUGGGCUUAAACUACAUUUUUGGAGCCCGAGAUGACUUCGGCUGGAGAAGUGUUCAGAAUAGUCCAAACUUUAGAUCCAGCUAUUUUGGGCCAGUUUAGGAUUAUAUUUCCUAUUUUAUUUCUAUUUAUUACGUUUCCUGGUUUUAUUCUAAGACCUUUUAGGGUUUUAUUUUGUAUUAGUAUAAAUAAGGCUUUUUAGCCAUUAGGUUAAGAAAUAGGGGAGAGAACGCACACAUUUUGGCUUUAGAGAGCUUUUGACGAAUCAAGUGUAUUUUCAAGGUGUUUUCUAUCCAUGUUUUUAAUAAUAUUUUAUUUUAUGAUUGUUUGUAAUUAGUUUUGUUUGCUAGGGUGAGGCCACGAGCCUUAGCAAAAAUAUGUAUUUUUUUUUUCAAUUUGCUUAUAAUAUUAUGCAUGCAAGUUUUGAAUUAUUAACCACUGUGCUUUAAACUAUCUAGUUGUCUUGAUGAUUGGCCACCAUUAGGAUAUUUAGAAAAGUAAUUUGAUGCAAUUUUGGUGGAGGGCUGUCCCUGGAAUUGGCGUUGGCUUCUUGUGGUUAAUAUGUGUAACCUCUUAGGAUGGACGACAUGUUUUAAGGGUUAUAUGGUUUUUCAAAAGGUUUUCACAAAACUUAAUGAGUCUUGCAUGUUCACAUUCGAUCUGGACGCCACAGACGGGUUUCAAGUAGGGCAUACUUUAGGAAAACCUAACCUUCAAAAUAUGCAUGGGUAAUUCAUAAGUAAUUGAAAGAACUACGUAGAAUUGUUAAGGUGACAACGGAACCCUAGUGCUCAAAUUUAUUUUCAAAACUAUUUUCUUUUGUUUUUUUUUAUUACUUUGCCAAUUUAUUUAAUUUUUUUUAAUAAAAUUCAUUUUUAAUAUUUUAGGUCAUAAAAUCAACCUCUUCUAAAUUUUGUUUUCAAAUCAUUAAUUAAGAUUUGGUUUUAACAUAAAUUAUUCAUUCAAUCCCUGUGGAGAUCGACCUUACUUGAGCUGCUAUACUAUGACAACCUUGUACUCUUGCAAGUAUUUUUAAAUGUUUUUAUCUCUAAUUUUGCAGGUGGUAAAAAUCCCUACCAGAGGGUCACUAGUGGUCUUGCUUGGUUAAUCCACAUUAGGGGACCAUACUAUAUGUAAAUCGUGCUUGGUUAAUCCACGUUAGGCGAUCCUUAUGGCCAUGUAUGCUUAGGAGUGAUCAUGCUUGGUUAAUCCGCAUUGGAUGAUCACUUCCUAACAGCUGUAGGAGUGACUCUGCUUGGUUAAUCCGCUUUGGGGGGGUCACUGCCUACUUGGUUACUUUCUCAUGGGUGGCUUUGCUUGGUUAAUCUGUUUUGGGAGGCCACUUCGUGUUUGGUUACUUAUGUAGGCUUCUGCCGAACUGCGUCCCUCUAGCCCUAGUUUUUAAUGUACAUAUGAACGAUGGUUUUUGAGAAUCUUGGUGGUUUGAAUGGGAAAAGCCAUUGGAUGUUUGGGUGACUCAUUCGGAGUUGUUAGAGACUUGACUAUGUUUUCAUAUUUACAAACUUAUAUUUGAGGUUUAUAAACUGUGAUUGAUGGUCUUUCUUUUUAUUGAUUAUCACAUACUUGUAUUAUUGUCACUCACCCGAUUUUACAUAUGACAGGCCUGGGUAGAUUAUGAGAAACCGCUUGAUAUUUUGGUUUCAUUGAGUAAUCCGGAACCCGGUGUCGUUGGAUUCCGUUGAGUGAUUCGAAAUCCUUGUUCUCGCUCAUUCCCAUAAGGUUAGUCUAGAACCCUAGAUUUGAGUGAAUGAAAAUUACCCACAAUAGACCUUGUGAAUAUGAAAUAGAUUUACCAUGUUAUUACUGAUAAUCCAAGUAGAAAAUUAUAUAGAGUUCCUUGGUUAAAUUUGUGAAAUGAUAUGUUAUUGCAUUCAUUGAUUAGCAUAUUUAAAUGCUAAGAUCAUGUAUCUUUGAUUCAUGAAUUGAUUGAUUGACGGAAUUGUGGAAUGACUUGGUUAUGGUUGUUAUUAUUUUGAUUAUUUUAGUUGAUCAAUGUGGCUUGAGAAUAAUAUGUGCUUCGUUGGUUAUUUGAUAUGUUACAUGUUGUGGAUGGAAGUAUCGUGCUGAAAACAUAGAAUUUAUAUGAUGGAUGGAAUGAGAAUCUUGAACGGCAUGUUGGUUUGUUUUGUAGCCAUGAACUUGGUAAUGUCAUGCAUGUCAAGUUCUAAUAAUUGAUUACAGAAUGCUAUGUAUUCCUAUUAGAACGCACUGGAAUAAAUGUCUAAAUUAGUGAACGAUGAACUACGAACGGCUUGAUCCCUAAUGAGGGUACGUAGGCAAUCUAACGAGGAGGUUAGAUGCAGCCAUAAAGUAUACGAAAAAUUACUAUGCGAUUCAAUUCUCAAGUUGUGAUUUGCCAUAUCCCGGAGGCGGGGUAUGUUGAGAUACGGGUAUUUGGUGACGUCACAUGUCGAUCCUGAACAUAUGUUGGGAUCGGGGCGUGACAUUUUUGAUCACUUCCAUAGGUAGACAGUAGAAUCAAAGUACGAGUUAAUUUCUUGCUAUUAAAGUGAAUUGAGUAUCGAGAAAACUAUGAAGACCUUUUAGUUCAUGUCGUAGAGUUGGGAAGUAGUAUUGUACGUUUUGAUGACGUAUAUCCAAGUGUCUAUUUCAAAAAUUUACCUGAGAUAUCACCAAAUUGUGAAGUAAGAUACACUAUCAACCUAUUUUCUAAUACGACACCUAUUAUCCUUGCAUCUUAUCGAACGACUCCUUUGACUUGAGAAACUUAGUUACAAAAGCUUAUCGAUUAGGAAUUCACCCAACCAAACACUUUAUCUAGGGAACCCUAAACCUAUCCAAGAAGACAAUAGGUUGAACCUUAAAACUGUAUCUAGAUUUUAGCAACUCUAUCGAGUGACAUUUAACUCCGUUAUACCAUACUUUGAAUUUAUGGUCUAUCCAACCAACCUCUGAGCCCAAGUUUUCUUCCGUAGCUUGUCAAAUUCGUAGUGGUUUUACCGAUGACUUUCUCACCUACCGUAGCAACGGGAGCAAAUUUUCUAAACACUGACAGUCAGCUUUAUACCAAAUUCCUCAAAUAUUACCUUUGUUUUAGAUUUCUUGGGAGACGUGAUCUCAACAGAGACGUUCUUGUCAAUUUCCAAAAAGGUUGCACAUGAAGAAGAUUUCAUAUUCCACAAAUCGUUGUGAAUAAUGCGAUAUCCUUGGCCUUGUUGGUUAUAUCGACAUUUCGUUAGUAACUUUUCAGCAGUGGUGUUUUUCCUUGCAAGUUGACCGAGGAAAAUCAGUUUAACUGAGAUGUGGAAUAUGAUUACAGUUGUGACAACUGAGGUGUUGUCUAUUUCUUACCCUUGUUCGUACACCUUUCGAUAACAUUGAAUGAUUUGGCUGCAUACUGAUAGAAUAUGACGAAGUAUUGCUUAUGUUUCCCAACGGUUGAAACCAUAUAAAGUGAACUAACUUACUAUUGACCUAGAGUCAACAAUUACCAUCUUUCCUUGAAACUGGAUGACACUUCUCUAUGGAGAAUCUUGUCCAAAAUCUGUACCAACCUUAGACUUCUCAAAUACAUCUUCAUUUGUAAUGAGCUAAAUUUCUGACAGUAGUGAUGGACGAACUAAAUCAACGUUUACGAUUACACUAUCGUGUAUUACCCUGGUUGUGUAAACGUAAUUACUGUUCACCGUAGUAAAAGAUGUAUCUACCCUUGAACAUUUUCAACCUGUCCUAUUCCAACUCAUUUGGAAUUCAUGAGUAUUGUUAUGACGUGACUUACGAAUCCUCAAGAAAUCGUUCGAGUGGUUAUAAUCACUUACUGUAUUUGAAUAGAGAUGAGAAAUAUCACCAUAAGUUCCUAGUACGAGGUAUUUUGUACAUGUGGAUAUUAUGAUAAUGUUUCGAUGAUUAUCUAUCAACUUGACAAGUCAGCUCACCUUCUGUUGGUCGAGAAGAACUACAUUUUAGACCACUUAUCAAAAUUUCUCAUUCUUGAACUUAUUAGACUUUUUGACGUUUUGAUCAGCAUCUAAUCUAACUGUGAUUCCCUAUUCACCAUCUUGGGCUGGAAAGCAUUCCAAUCAACCUUAGGUACGUCUUACCCUACAACACUUUGUAUUAUUUCUUAAGCAAAUAGAUUGUUUAGAUGAACCGCUGACAUUGAAGUUUUAGUUAUGACCAUUAACUCCUCAAUCACCUAACAAAUACUUUACUGAACGAAUCUUUACCAUUAGUGAUUGAAUAUUCUGAAAGCUACCGUUGUAGUGAGAUAUUAUGCAUUCAAUCCAGCCAUCUUGUACUCUAGAUUCGAUGAACUUGUUUUGACCCUCAAAUUCUUGAGUGUUCAUUUAGCCUUUUCGGCGUAAUGUUUCACUAAACCCGAGUGGAAAUUCAUAAUGAAUCUACUUGCUGAGGCAUAUGUGAAUUACAGUGUUUGGUUGCAUAGUGUGCAUGACACUACUGUAUCUUAUUAUGAUGCGCAUUUCGCUUCCAAGUUUUGGGAAGCCUUCUUGAAGGCCAUGCGUAUUAAGUUUUGUCACAUACCACAUUUCACCCUCAGACUAACGGUCAGUCUGAAUGAACUAUUCAGACCUUAGAUAACAUAUUUCUUUUGUAUGUUUUAUAGUUUUAACUGGUUAUGUUAGACACCUAUCUUUGCUUAUGUUGCGUACGACGAUAGUUAUUAUUAUGGUUUGGCUAUAGUAUUGUUUAAGCUGUGAUAUAGAGAUUUUACGCACGGAACAUGUUUGACAGACGAGUAUUGCGAACAAGUAUUCGAAUGAUCAGGAUUAAGAUGUAGCAAACUAUGAGAUAUUGACGAUGUCGCCGAAGAGGGUCAUGCGUGAAUGCAAUCAAGGCGUUAAUCAGAUGAUUUAUGUGUAUUUCCCAAUGAGGGGCAAGAUGGUAAUAUUGCACCCUCAUGAAUUAUUUGCUUGGUUAUUGUGACAACACCGUAAUAUUGAUAACUUAUUUAUUGUUUGGACUUGACCCAAAGAUACUACACUUAUUCUCGGAUUACGUGACGCUACAAGUGCAUAGGUGACAUUUUUCUAUGUUCAGUUUUGAUUUCAGUACAACUAUCUUGAUUCUACGUUAUUGUGUAUAUGUAUUUUAAUUUGACGUUAUGUUUAUAUAUAUAUUACCUUAUGUUUUUAUAAAAUAUAAUAUUAUAGUAUUGUGCUGAAGGAGAAGGAAAGUAUGAGUUUGGAGCCAUAAAAUAGGAAUCAUUGCACACCUAUCGCGACAGAAUGACAUUCUCUUUUAUGCAACCGCUCUAGCUUGAAUUCUUCUUUAUAUAUUUUCCUUCUGUCUUGAGUAUUUUAUGUUUAGCAACUUAUUUCAAAUUUUGGGGACAAAAUUUUUUUUAAGGGGUGUAUAUUGUGACAACUCGUCCCUACUUUUAUGAUUUUAUUAAUUUUAAAAGCGUGAAUUGGCAAAAAUGCUCUAGCUUGAAUUCUUCUUUAUAUAUUUUCCUUAUGUCUUGAGUAUUUUAUUUUUAGCAACUUAUUUCAAAUUUUGGGGACAAAAUUUUUUUUUAAGGUGGGUAGAUUGUGACAACCCGUCCCUACUUUUAUGAUUUAAUUAAUUUUAAAAGCGUAAAUUGACGAAAAUGCCCAAGAGGCGAGAUUAUUGACUUUCGUUGAUCGUUGUUUGUGACACGUAUGAGUUAUUACUUUACCGUACCCUUGAAGUACUCGAUGGUAAAAACGCAUAGGCGCAAGCGGAAUCGAAUUUGGAGCAACGAUGAAAAUUUUAUUGAACAAUGAAUCCGAAAAAUACUUUUGUAAAAAUUACUAUUUUAUAUUUUAUAUAUUUAUUCAAAAUUUUAUAUUAUUAUAUCACUAUUUUAAUAUAUUUCUAUGGGAUAUUUUUUAUUAUUUUAUUAAUAUUUUCGGCCCAUGGGGCCCACACUCACCCAAGCUCUCAUCUCAUUUUCUGCCAUGUGUUUUGUCUCCUCCUUCUGUCCUGUAAGACUCCCCUUUUUCUCUCCCUUGGUGAAACCUAGUGACACUGGAACCACCACCACCACCACCACCUUGCCGUUGCGACUCCGGCGAGUUACUCCACUCGAUGACCCAGGUUGGCACCACCUUCGUCGUUUUCUCCCCCCUCCAUGUCGAACGAGCACCACUCAUUUUCUUCCCCAAGGCCACUGUUCACGUUUUUCUUUUCUGACGACAUUCAUAGCAAGUUCUCGCUGUUCAUGACGAAGGUAAGGUUCGAAAACCCUCAAUAUCUUUGAACACCCUCAAUAUCUUCGUAAAUCCCGUCCCUGAUUUUCACUAUUGCAAAUUACGUAUGUGUAUUAAGGAGUUAUUAUAUUAUUUUUGGAAUUUAUAUUAAUUGUAGAGUGUUGAGAUUGUGUAUUCAAAAGAUAUCAAUGUGAAAAAGCUACAAUUAAAAAGUUGCCCUUAAUUAAUUAAGGAGAGGAAAAAAAAGGGAACUUUAACGAAAAGCUCCCGGUACUGUUCAUUUUAACGAAAAACCACAUUUUUACACUAAAAAGUCAAUCCUGGUACUAUUCACUUUACCCUUUAUUUUGUCCUUAUCGUUAAAACUCAAAGUUUUCAAGCCCUUUUCAUUAGUUUUCCUAAAAAAAAAAGAAAAGGAAUUUGGGGAGAGAAAUGAAGGAGGCUUGGCCAACGGGAAGGCGGGAGAGAAAGAAGGCUGCCAAUGAGAAAAAAGGAAAGGAGGAGGAAAGAGGGGAGGGGAGGGACACCAGAUUCCCUGCCCAAUUGUCUUUUCCGACCUGAACGCGUCAUUGCUACCACUUCCGACGGGUUUUCCGUCCAUUUUUUGGCGAUCCACCAUUUUUGAAAUAAUGUUCUUCAAUUACCACCACAAAGACACUCAUCUAGAGGUCAGGAAAAAAGCCCAAGCAAGAUUGGGGGUGUUGGAGUUCGAAUUGAGGACGAAUCAAAUGACACCCAUUUCAAGGGUUCCGGCGGAUCGAGGCAAAAUUGAAGGGUUCCCCGGCAAAAUUGGACCUCGGCCCAGGUAUGAAAAUUUCUCCCCGCACUGAUAUCUACAUGCCUGUAAAGUUUGGUAAUUUUUGGAAAUAGUUGAAUUUUCGGCAAGUCGGGGCUGCCGACCGCCACCCGCGGCGGCGGCCUGCCCAGUGGGCCGACGAUGUCCUUUUAAGUUCAAAUAGAUGCCUUGAUUUCAUAAUUGAUAUCCGUAUGACGUAAUUUGAUUGUUUGGACUUAGUUUCAUUACGAUACCUCAUGUUGAUGCACAAAACCGGAGGUUUUGGGACAAUAUAAAUCCGAUCGUGAAUCUGCAAGUAAUGUAAGUAACACAAGAUGUAUCGUGGUUCACCCCAAUGUUUGGGCUACGUCCACACUGAUUAUUGAAUUUCUUUAAGAUGCUGAAGAGGGAGAAAGAGAGUUUCUCUGUGAGGAUGAGAGCUCUGAGAGGGUGAAGGUACGGCCUAAGAAAUGGCCUCCCUUCAUGAAGAGAGUGAGGGGUCCUUUUAUAGAAUAAGGGCUCCUCACUUAUUACAUAUUUGCCCUUUAUUUAUUACAUAAUUACAUUUGAGUCCCCCGAGUAUUUAUACGAGAUCUAAAAACGGAGGCCCUAAGUAUGGUAUAAACAGUAAUCCCCCAAGUCUUCAGUCAAGAUAGUCUUUUGGCUGGAGACUUGAAAUUCAGUCCAUGUGUGGACCAAAGUAACUAGACAUCGUCUAGGACUGAUACUCGAUAUGAGGCGGUGCUCAAUCUGAAAUGAUGCUCAACUAGAAGUAGCACAUGUUGCGAGGCUGCUUGGCUUGUGGCUUAUGUUGUCUUGGUUGGCUUGGCUUGUGGCAUUGAAGGUAAGGGAGUCCCUUUUAUAGAAUAAGGGCUCGCUCCUCAAUACAUGAAUGAUAGGCUAGAGUUGAUGCUCGCGGCGAGGGCAUUGCUCAGCUGGCGACGAUGCUCUCUAAUGAUGGUGAGGGAGUCUCUUUUAUAGAAUAAGGGCUCGCUCCUCAAUACAUAAGUGAUGAGUUAGGAGUGAUGUUCCCGGCGAGGCGAUUGCUCAGCUGGCGGCGAUGCUCUCUAAUAAAGGUGAGGGAGUCCCUUUUAUAAAAUAAGGGUUCGCUCCUCAGUACAUGAAUAAUGGGUGCUUUCUAAUGAAAGUGAGGGAGUCCCUUUUAUAGAAUAAGGGCUCGCUCAUCAGUACAUAAAUAAUGGGCUAAGUCCCCCAAGUAUUUUUCAUGAGGCCCAGUUGAGGCCCAAUAAAUGGUACAUAAUGUAGUCCCCCAAGUCUUCGGUCAAUAGAGUCUGUUGGUUGGACACUUCAAAUUGAAUCCAAGUAUGGGCUGAAGUGGCGGUUGUUCGGAGGCGGUAUUUGUAUACCCUGCACUGAAGCUUUGUAGGUGAAGCUUUGCAAGUGAAGCUUUGAAGCUAGAGCUCUGUAAAUGAAGCUUUUAAAGCUAGAGCUCUAUAAAUGAAGCUUUUGAAGCUAGAGCUUUGUAAAUGAAACUUCUGAAGCUAGCGCUUUUGUGAAUGAAGCUUUUGAAGCUAGAGCUCUGUAAAUGAAGCUUUUGAAGCUGAUUGACAUGAGUGAUGGUCAUGAAUGUUUAUGUUGAUUGACAUGAGUGAUGCUCAUGGAUGUUGAUGAAUGAUGGUCAUGAAUGUUUAUGUAUGAUUGACAUGAGUGAUGUUCAUGAAUGUUUAUGUAUGAUUGACAUGAGUGAUGCUUAUGUAUAAUUUUGGAGUACUGGAUGUACUUUUGAUCACCUGAUUGGUGAUAAUAGCGGCAGGCUGCCAAAUAAUUUUGGAGUACUGGGCGUACUUUAGAUCACCUGGUUGAUGAUAAUAGCGACAGGUUGCCGAAUAAUUUUGGGAGUACUGGGCGUACUUUAGAUCACCUGGUUGAUGAUAAUAGCGACAGGUUGCCGAAUAAUUUUGGGAGUACUGGGCGUACUUUUGAUCACUUGGUUGGUGAUAAUAGCGGCAGGUGCCGAAUAAAUUUGGAGCCAUAGGGCCUGGCUCUUUUGGGCAUAUGGGCAUUCGCCCUCCACAUGACAUUGCAGCCCACUAUUUUGGGCUUGCCCUUUUUUUUUAAAAUUUUUUUUAUUAUUACCCUCUGAUGGGGUUUAUAUAGAUGUCUCCGAAAGAUAAGAAAAAUAAAUUAUAUCAUUCAAAAAUAAAUCUCACCCUCUGCUCAAUGGGUUAUGCCCAUAAUUCCCUUUUCUGCAUGCCAUCACCACCGCAAUUAUGUCUGCUUCUUUUUAUCUUCUUUUGCUUUCUGCUUUUUACUUUCUGCUUUUCUUUUGCUUUCGGCCUGGUUGGUGCUAAGACCUUGUAGUGGGAUGGCAAACAGCUUGGCAUCAUUAUGUCUGAAUUCCUUUAUCAUCGUGGUGCCGAACCACUUUCCAGUUGUGUGUUUAAAGGAACCUGUUUUACCUUCACUGCUUUUUGACCAUACUUCCUCCAUCUAUACCCAAUUGAAGUAAUGAUUACUCCCCUGGAGCCGAUACUAGACCGGUUGAGUCAUUCUGGGAGGCAGCGGAAUGUUGACGUCUGCAACGUGCGGACCGAAGCCCAAAUGCGACGUCGUUUGGCCUGCCACCAGAAGAAGAAACAAACCGAGCAAAACAUUGAAACUCACCAGAGAGAUCGCCGGAGUCAGAGCUUAAGAGAGUAAACACCCAUGAUCCAUGUGAAGAGAGUGAGAGAGUGAGAGCAUGAGAGAGUAAACUCAUCCAAAUUAGAGUAAACUCACACAACUCCGGCCACAGAGUCGUACUCUUCCAUACCAACAUUUCCAUUUCCAACACUACCCUCCACGUUCUUCUUCACCCUCCCUGCAAUCACACGGCACACCAACAUUGCCCUCUUGUCACCCUCCUUCGUCGCCACCACCGCUUUAUCAUGAGCUCUGCUGCUUGUCGCAGUUGUCAAAAUACCCAGCUCCGUCAACUCCCCAGAGAACUUGUUGAAGCCGUUUUUUAUAAUGAUGCAAACAUUGCAGUGUGGGAUUAAGUUACUUGGAGAGCUUGGUGGCAAAGGUGGUGUAGUGGAAACGGAUGAGCUCGUUGCCGUCAGCGAUGCAGCGGGGGUGUUUCUUGGAGAGCUUGGUGGCUUUUACUUUGAUGGAGUCUCUAUACUCUUUGAAUUUGGUGAUGGUAUCUUGGGUGUUAUGGACUUUAAGGAUGCGGUCGAUUUUGUAGAUUGGGGUUCUUUUUUCAGCCAGCUGGACUGGAAUAUGAUCUCCACUAUGUUCUUGCUAGUAUCAUCAGGACUCCGAGCUUGUAUGGUGUCUCUACCGUCACAAGGAGAAGAUCAACCUCGCUGGUCACGAAGAGAAGAUCAGCCUCCGCUACUCAAGCUCCGACUCCAGCGAUCUCUCUUGUGAGUUUCACUGUUUUGCUCGGUUUGUUUCUUCUUCUGGUGGCGGGCCAAACGACGUCGCAUUUGGGCUUCGGUCCGUAAAUUGUAGACAUUAACAUUCUGCUGCCUCCCAGAAUGACUCAUCUGGUCUAGUAUCGGCUCCAGGGAGUAAUGAUUGCUUCAAAUGGGUAUAGAUAGAGGAAGUAUGGUAAAAAAGCAGUGAAGGUAAAACAGGUUGCUUUAAACACACAGCUGGAAAGUGGUCCGGCACCACGAUGAUAAAGGAAUUCAGACAUAAUGAUGCUAAGCUGUUUGCCAUCCCACUACAAGGUCCCAGCACCUACCAGACUGAAAGCAAAAGAAAAGCAGAAAGCAAAAGAACAUAAAAAGAAGCAGACAUAAUUGCGGUGGUGAUGGCAUGCAAAAAAGGGAAUUAUAGGCAUAACCCAUUGAGCAGAGGGUCGGAUUUAUUUUUGAAUGAUGUAAUUUAUUUUUCUUAUCUUUCGGAGACAUCUGUAUAAACCCCUUCAGAGAGUAAUAAUAAAAAAUUAAAAAAAAAACGGCAAGCCUAAAAUAGUGGGCUGCAAUGUCAUGUGGAGGGUGAAGACCCAUAUGCCCAAAAGAGCCAGGCCCUAUGGCUCCAAAUUUAUUCGGCACCCUGCCGCUAUUAUCACCAACCAAGUGAGCAAAAGUACGCCCAGUACUCCCAAAAUUAUUCGGCAACCUGCCGUUAUUAUCACUAACCAGGUGAUCAAAAGUACAUCCAAUACUCCAAAAUUAUUUGGCAGCUUACCGUUAUUAUCACUAACCAGGUGAUCAAAAGUACGUCCAGUACUCCAACAUUAUACAUGAGCAUCACUCAUGUCAAUCAUACAUAAACAUUCAUGACCAUCAUUCAUCAACAUCCAUGAGCAUCACUCAUGUCAAUCAACAUAAACAUUCAUGAGCAUCACUUAUGUCAAUCAGCUUCAAAAGCUUCCUUUACAGAGCUCUAUCUUCAAAAGCUUCAUUUACAGAGUUUUAGCUUCAAAAGCUUCAUUUACAGAGCUCUAGCUUCAAAGCUUCACUUGCAAAGCUUUCACCUACAAAGCUUCAGUGCAGGGUAUACAAAUACCGCAUCCGAACAAUCGCCACUUCGGCAUAUACAUGGAUUCUAUUUGAAGUCUCUAGCCAACAGACUUUAUUGACCGAAGACUUGGGGGACUACAUUAUGUACCAUAUAUUGGGCCUCAACUGGGCCUCAUGAAAAAUACUUGGGGGACUUAGCCCAUUAUUUAUGUACUGAGGAACGAGCCCUUAUUCUAUAAAAAGGACUCCCUCAAUUUCAUUAGAGAGCACCUAUUAUUCAUGUACUGAGGAGUGAGCCUUUAUUUUAUAAAAGAGACUCCUUCACCUUCAUUAGAGAGCAUCACCACCAGCUAAGCAACCGCCUCGCCGCGAGCAUCACUCCUAACUCAUCACUUAUGUAUUGAGGAGCGAACCCUUAUUCUAUAAAAUGGACUCCCUCACCAUCAUUAGAGAGCAUCGUCGCCAGCUGAGCAACUGCCUCGCCGCGAGCAUCAACUCUAGCCCAUCAUUUAUGUUUUGAGGAGCAAGCCCUUAUUCUAUAAAAGGGACUCCCUCACCUUCAACGCCAUAAGCCGAGCCAACCAAGGCAACAUAAGCCACAAGCCGAGCAGCCUCGCAACAUGUGCUACUUCUAGUUGAGCAUCAUUUCAGAUUAAGCACCGCCUCAUAUCGAGUAUCAGUCCUAGAUGACGUCCAGUUACUUCGCCCACACAUGGACUGAGUUUUAAGUCUCCAGCCAAAAGACUCUAUUGACUGAAUACUUGGGGGACUACUGUUUAUACCAUACUUAGGGCCUCCGUAUUUAGAUCUCGUAUAAAUACUAGGGGGACUCAAAUGUAAUUAUGUAAUAAAUGAAGGGGCAAAUAUGUAAUAAGUGAGGAGCCCUUAUUCUAUAAAAGGACCCCUCACUCUCCUCAUGAAGGGAGGCCAAAUCUUAGGCCAUACCCUCACCAUCUCAGAGCUCUCAUCCUCACAAAAAAGCUCUCUCUCUCCCUCUUCAACAUCUCGGAGAAAUACAAUAAUCAGUGUGGACGUAGCCCAAACAUUGUGGUGAACCAUGAUACAUCUUGUGUUAUUUACAUUUCUUGCAGAUUCAUGGUCGAAUUUACGUUGUCCCAAGACCUUCGGUUUUGUGCAUCAACAUAUUUGAUGGAUGAAAUAGAAACCUUGAUUAUCAUGUGGGUUGUUAUGUAGCUUGAAUUGAAUAAUUCAUGCUUGUCAAGUCCAACUGUUUGAUUGAGGAAUGUUAUGCCUUUUGGCUUGAGUGAAUAGUGUUAUAUGUCGAGUUAUAAAGACGUUGAACUACGAAUGGCUUGAUCCCUAUUGAGGGUACAUAGGCAAUCUAACGAAGAGGUUAGAUGCAGCCAUAAUGUAUACGCAAAAUUAUUAUGCAUCUAGAUCUUGAAUUAUAUUUUGUACAUAUCCAAAAAGGCGGGAUACGUUGAGUUACGAGCAUUUAGUGACGUCACGUGUCGAUCUGAGAUGUAUGUCGGGAUUGGGGCGUGACAAUUUAUCCCAGCCAUCUUUUUCCAGAUUCUGACGGUUGUAGCGGCAACCAGCUGAGAAGAAGAAAAAAAAGAAAAAAAAGGAAAAAAAAAAAAAGGAAGCCUAGAUCCGCGACCCGGAUCUAGCCCAACCUGAUUCUAAAAUGCAUAUGGAAUAUUCUUAGUGUUGACCUUUAAGAAAUUUUCUCGGAAAUCCUCCUAGGCUAAUUUCGACGUCUAGAGUCCAUUUUUGACUUCCAUUUAGGAAAAUUUUGAAGUUUUAACAUAGUUGACCACCGGGCCGUCUUUGUUGACUUUUUAAGUUUGAUCGUUCACUUUUCGUUGACUUUUUACAAAAUUUGCCUGGGACCCCUCUUAGCGUAUUUCGACGCUCUGAUUACUAUCGGAGACUCAGACUUUCUUAGCUUGAAAUGAUGUGACAUCGCAAGUACCUAUGAGUGGGUCUUUUCUUUUAUAUAGUACAUAUAUAUAUAUAUUUGUUAGUUUCCAUUUAUAUAUUUGGUAAAGAAUUUUCUACGUUACGCCUAGAUUAGGGUAACGUAUAUAAAAAUUAACGUAUUGAAGGAAUUCAUGCAAAUAUACUACGUCCUACGAGAUACACAUGUAUGCGUAUUAGUAUGGAUGCUUUAAUGGUAUUUACGGUUUUGAAUAGUAUUCCAUUGACUAGGGUUAUUGAAUUAUCGAUUUACCAUUGCAUGAUCAUAUUUGUGUUAUCUGCUCAUCGUGUGUUGCACUGGUGUUAGUACUUGCCUAGGCUAGGGCCAGUCUUUCACAUGUAUGUUCAAUUCGCACUGUACGCUCACUUUGGAUCCAUUGUAGGUGCCAGUCCUGUCCUCGAUUGCAAUAGGCAAUUAGGACUCGUAUGUGACGUGCUUAGCACCCGUUUUCAUGUGAUUGUAGUACUAGAGCGUAAAUCAUUAUUACACCCAGUCCUAUUCAUGUCAGAAUACCUUUGCAUGAACUCGUGUGUCAACAUAUGUCGAUGAGCACUCGAUGUGAUAUGUUUAUUUCUGCAAGAUAUUGUGAUUACUAGAAGUUAUGUACCUAUUUACGAAUUUUGUGACGUAUUGAAUUCUUGAGAUAUUGCAAACUACUGUAAGUAUUUUCAUACUAUACGUAGUAUGUAUAUUUUGGAAACUAUACUUGCUUUACGGUGAGGGGUUAUAAUGUUUUCAAAAAGCUUUUUAUAAAACUUUAUUUUUAAGCCCACUCAUCCUUGUUUUUCGUCCCUCCAGGAUUUAGUGGCAAUGUUCGUGUCGACGAGGAUUUCUGGCAAACGUUGAUAUCGGAGACUACUUCCGAUGGUAUAAUUCUCAAUCUACUAUACUGUACUUUACUUAUGCUCUUAUAUCACGUGUGAAAUGAGUUCAUUCACGCUCACUAGCGCACUCUUAUACUUAGGCACUUCUAGAUUUAAAUUUACUCACAUUUUUCACAUCACUACUCAUUAAUGAAAUCUUUAUUUUCCUAAAAGAUUAUUGCCUCAUAUGAGAAAGUCCCUAUAAUAUAAACCCUAAAUUUGAAGUUUACAUAAUUUUAUGUGAUAAUUUCAUUGGAAGCUAAUUCUUUUAGUUAAUUUAACUUGAUUUUAUUGUAAAAUAUUUUUUGUGUAAUAUUAUUACCCAAAAAGGUUCAAAAUUCUCAAAGCCAAAUUUUAUUCCAAUGGAGUUUUAAUGAAAAGUCCGCGGUACUGUUCACUUUAACGAAAAACCACAUUUUUACACUAAAAAUUCAAACUUAGUACUAUUCAUUUUACCUUUUAUUUUGUCCUUAUCAUUAAAACUCAAAGUUUUCGAGCCAUUUUCAUUAGUUUUCCUUUUAUUUGGGAGUUUUAACGAAAAGUCCGCGGACCCGGCUUUGCAACCCGGACCCAGCUUCUCUGCUCUCCCAGUUUCCAUACACUCUCAUCCCCUCCUAUUUUGUGCGAUCACGAUUAAGCACGUUAACAUUUUAUAUUGAUUUUUUUAUAGACAUAAUAAGACAAAAAACGAUAGUGAUAUAAAAUAUUGACGUGACUUAACAUUUGACAAAAAUUGAAGAUAAUUUUGUUUUUUUGACUAAAUGAUCAAAAUAAUUGGUGGCGAAUAAAAUCAGAAAUCUCACUUUGAAGAAACGAAACUUCCGACGUGGUGGGCUGCGACUUUUGACUGAUUGAGAGUCCUCCAUCCGCAGCUCCUCCGUCUUCCUCCCAAGCCUUUUACCUUUUCUUUCUUUCUUCUCCAAAACUAGCAAUCUGAGAUUUGAACCUCUCUCUCUAAGAAGCAGCGGCAUGCUUUUCCAAACGUAAUCUGCAAUUUAAUCAAACAGCCACCGAAUUUUCUGGAAUCCUGUCAACGCAGAGAUGCUUCGGAUUUUGAUCGGUCAACGCCAGCUGCUUACCUGAGCUCCAAAAGAUCCAACAGUGAUGACGUCCUCCACCUCUGUUUCUGUUUGGCUGAUUCUGCUGUUUGGCUUCUUUCACCUCUACAAGCUUGCUGCCAAUGUCGUCUCUGUGUGUUAUUGAAUUUGGGAGUGUUUGGUUGUGGGAACCGGAAUGAACUAAUGAAUGAAUGAAUGAAUGACUGAAUGACUGGAAACAUUCCCGAAGAGCUUGGGGGUUUGUCAGACUUGGUGAGCUCGGAUCUUUACUUGGCAACCUUGCAAAACUGCGUUUCCUAUAUGAACCCGCAUCCUUUUGUUAGAUAAAAUCUAUCGUCUUUCUUUUUUAUUCGAUAUGCUAAUCUGCUGUUUUUAAUUGUUCCAUUGGAGUGACUUUCUUCCUUAAAGUCCUUGUGCCGGAUGCAUAUAAUUUAUAGUAUGAUCCCUGGUUUCAAGAUUCACAAGAAGGGAACAUCCAGUCAUUGCAAGUCCUGUGAAUUUCAUACACUUUCAUCUCAGUAAGAGGGAGGAGAGAGUGAAAAGUUACUAAUUUCUCUACCAUCGGAGAAUGCAAAUAACAUAUAGUUUUGCCAUGGAAUGCAGGG
RNAcentral lists this long non-coding RNA (33055 nucleotides) under Malus domestica (apple). RNAcentral describes it as "long non-coding RNA (MDOM_LNC015876)". Lineage: Eukaryota; Viridiplantae; Streptophyta; Magnoliopsida; Rosales; Rosaceae. The record is from RNAcentral.